RNAcentral lists this unclassified non-coding RNA (271 nucleotides) under uncultured fungus. Its description in RNAcentral is "partial contains 18S rRNA, ITS1, 5.8S rRNA, ITS2 and 28S rRNA". Lineage: Eukaryota; Fungi. The record is from RNAcentral.
AAGGAUCAUUAUUGAAUAAACUUGGUUGGGUUGUUGCUGGCUCCUAGGAGCAUGUGCACGCCUAAUCCAUUUUUAACCCCCUGUGCACCUUGUGUAGACCUGAGCAACUCUCGAGACAAUGUACUCGGUUUUUGAGAAUCGCUGUUGUGAAAGCUCAGCUUUUCUUGUGUUCAGGUCUAUGUCUUAUAUUAAACCCCAUAAGAAUGUAAUGAACAGGCCAUCGUGCCUUUAAACACAAAUACAACUUUCAACAACGGAUCUCUUGGCUCUC